Molecule: ribosomal RNA, 468 nt
Filed under: uncultured bacterium
Lineage: Bacteria
Description: partial 16S ribosomal RNA
Rfam family: Bacterial small subunit ribosomal RNA
Source: RNAcentral
GACGAACGCUGGCGGCGUGCUUAAUACAUGCAAGUCGAACGGAAAGGCCCUGCUUUUGUGGGGUGCUCGUGUGGCGCACGGGUGAGUAACACGCGAGUAACAUGCCCUUGAAUUUGGGAUAAAUUUAGGAAACUGGGGCUAAUACAGGAUAGGAGCUCUUGCUGCAUGGUGGGGGUUGGAGAGUUUCGGUGGUGGGGGCUGGACUCGCGGCUUAUCAGCUUGUUGGUGGGGUAGUGGCUUACGAAGGCUGUGACUGGUAGCCGGCCUGAGAGGGUGACCGGGCACAUGGGGCCUGAGAUAGGGCGCAGACUGCUACGGUAGGCAGCAGUGGGGAAUAUUGCACAAUGGGCGGAAGCCAGAUACAGCAACGCCGCGUGCGGGAUGACGGCCUUCUGGUUGUAAACCGCUGUCGCCUUUGACGAAGCCUGAGUGACGGUAAUGGGUAAAGAAGCACCGGCUAACUACGUG